Molecule: non-coding RNA, 178 nt
Organism: Ceratotherium simum simum (southern white rhinoceros)
Lineage: Eukaryota; Metazoa; Chordata; Mammalia; Perissodactyla; Rhinocerotidae
Source: RefSeq, a predicted model, not a curated record
GCAGGCAGUUCCUGGCUGUGAUACUCCAGUUGAGGGUGUCUGACUGACAGCAUGUUGGCACCAGCAUUGAAGGAAUUGAUGGGCUUCGGCUCCUGGUUCCUGUCCUGAGACCACAGCAGGAUGUGCCUUGGACAAAGGCUUGGACUCCUGGAUCGUCUGGUGACUUCAAAUAUCUGGU